AUUGAACGCUGGCGGCAGGCCUAACACAUGCAAGUCGAGCGAGCGGCGGACGGGUGAGUAAUGUCUGGGAAACUGCCUGAUGGAGGGGGAUAACUCCUGGAAACGGUAGUUAAUACCGCAUACCAUCAGAUGUGCCCAUAUGGGAUUAGCUAGUAGGUGUGGUAAUGGCUCACCUAGGCGACGAUCCCUAGCUGGUCUGAGAGGAUUACCAGCCACACUGGAACUGAGACACGGUCCAGACUCCUACGGGAGGCAGCAGUUGGGAAUAUUGCACAAUGGGCGCAAGCCUGAUGCAGCCAUGCCGCGUGUGUGAAGAAGGCCUUCGGGUUGUAAAGCUCUUUCAGCAGGGAGGCGUUACUCGCAGAGGAAGCACCGGCUAACUCCGUGCCAGCAGCCGCGGUAAUAC
RNAcentral lists this ribosomal RNA (406 nucleotides) under uncultured bacterium. RNAcentral's name for it is "partial 16S ribosomal RNA". It matches the Rfam family "Bacterial small subunit ribosomal RNA", at positions 30 to 526 of the family's 1533-position model. The record is from RNAcentral.